ACAGCACUCCCUCUGUUUGGAAUUACUUGUCGUGGAAGUGGAUGUAUCUAGAUGUAUUUUAGUUCUAGAUACAUCCAUUUUUCAAACAAGUAAUUCCGAACGGAGGGAGUAGAUA
Non-coding RNA from Triticum aestivum (bread wheat), 115 nucleotides. Lineage: Eukaryota; Viridiplantae; Streptophyta; Magnoliopsida; Poales; Poaceae. The record is from Rfam.